GUCUACGGCCAUGCUACCCUGAACGUGCCCGAUCCCAUCUGAUCUCAGAAGCUAAGCAGGGUUGGGCCUGGUUAGUACUUGGAUGGGAGACCACCUAGGAAGACCAGGUGCUGUAGGCA
This 119-nucleotide ribosomal RNA is filed under the name Pteropus alecto (black flying fox). The record is from RNAcentral. Lineage: Eukaryota; Metazoa; Chordata; Mammalia; Chiroptera; Pteropodidae.